AUGAACGCUGGCGGCGUGCCUAAUACAUGCAAGUCGAGCGAACGGACGAGAAGCUUGCUUCUCUGAUGUUGGCGGCGGACGGGUGAGUAACACGUGGAUAACCUACCUAUAAGACUGGGAUAACUUCGGGAAACCGGAGCUAAUACCGGAUAAUAUUUUGAACCGCAUGGUUCAAAAGUAAAAGACGGUCUUGCUGUCACUUAUAGAUGGAUCCGCGCUGCAUUAGCUAGUUGGUAAGGUAACGGCUUACCAAGGCAACGAUGCAUAGCCGACCUGAGAGGGUGAUCGGCCACACUGGAACUGAGACACGGUCCAGACUCCUACGGGAGGCAGCAGUAGGGAAUCUUCCGCAAUGGGCGAAAGCCUGACGGAGCAACGCCGCGUGAGUGAUGAAGGUCUUCGGAUCGUAAAACUCUGUUAUUAGGGAAGAACAUAUGUGUAAGUAACUGUGCACAUCUUGACGGUACCUAAUCAGAAAGCCACGGCUAACUACGUG
RNAcentral lists this ribosomal RNA (496 nucleotides) under uncultured bacterium. Its description in RNAcentral is "partial 16S ribosomal RNA". It matches the Rfam family "Bacterial small subunit ribosomal RNA", at positions 29 to 507 of the family's 1533-position model. The record is from RNAcentral.